CCCUUAGAUGUUCUGGGCCGCACGCGCGCUACACUGAUGCAUUCAACGAGUCUAAAACCUGGUCUGAUAGGGCUGGGUAAUCUUUUGAAUGUGCAUCGUGAUUGGGAUAGAUGAUUGCAAUUAUUGGUCUUCAACGAGGAAUUCCUAGUAGACGUAGUUCAUCAGACUGCAUCGAUUACGUCCCUGCCCUUUGUACACACCGCCCGUCGCUCCUACCGAUUGAAUGCUCAGGUGAGCCAUUCGGACUUUCAUCAUGCUGGUUUCCAGUUUUGAUGAAGGAAAGUCUUGCGAACCUUAUCAUUUAGAGGAAGGAGAAGUCGUAACA
This 325-nucleotide ribosomal RNA is filed under the name uncultured eukaryote. Its description in RNAcentral is "partial 18S ribosomal RNA". It matches the Rfam family "Eukaryotic small subunit ribosomal RNA", at positions 1470 to 1796 of the family's 1831-position model. The record is from RNAcentral.